AGCAGCCGCGGUAAUUCCAGCUCCAAUAGCGUAUAUUAAAGUUGCUGCAGUUAAAAAGCUCGUAGUUGGAUUUCUGGCUUGAAACAAGCUGCCGGCCACGGUUUCGUGUGUUAGUGCAGUUUGUUCUGGCCAUCCUUCCAAUCGCGUCGAUCUGCUCUUCAUUGACUGGGUCGGCGUAUUGGAUCUUUUACUUUGAAAAAAU
RNAcentral lists this ribosomal RNA (202 nucleotides) under uncultured Glomus. RNAcentral's name for it is "partial 18S ribosomal RNA". It matches the Rfam family "Eukaryotic small subunit ribosomal RNA", at positions 569 to 766 of the family's 1831-position model. Lineage: Eukaryota; Fungi; Glomeromycota; Glomeromycetes; Glomerales; Glomeraceae. The record is from RNAcentral.